RNAcentral lists this transfer RNA (73 nucleotides) under archaeon. Its description in RNAcentral is "tRNA-Asn". It matches the Rfam family "tRNA". Rfam says of the family: Transfer RNA (tRNA) molecules are approximately 80 nucleotides in length. Their secondary structure includes four short double-helical elements and three loops (D, anti-codon, and T loops). Further hydrogen bonds mediate the characteristic L-shaped molecular structure. tRNAs have two regions of fundamental functional importance: the anti-codon, which is responsible for specific mRNA codon recognition, and the 3' end, to which the tRNAs corresponding amino acid is attached (by aminoacyl-tRNA synthetases). tRNAs cope with the degeneracy of the genetic code in two manners: having more than one tRNA (with a specific anti-codon) for a particular amino acid; and 'wobble' base-pairing, i.e. permitting non-standard base-pairing at the 3rd anti-codon position. The record is from RNAcentral.
GUCCCGGUAGCUCAGUUGGUAGAGCACAUGGCUGUUAACCAUGGGGUCGAAGGUUCGAGUCCUUCCCGGGACG